Molecule: ribosomal RNA, 701 nt
Filed under: uncultured Bacilli bacterium
Lineage: Bacteria; Bacillati; Bacillota; Bacilli
Description: bacterial SSU rRNA
Rfam family: Bacterial small subunit ribosomal RNA
Source: RNAcentral
AAGUCGAACGAAACUUUCUUACACCGAAUGCUUGCAUUCACCGUAAGAAGUUGAGUGGCGGACGGGUGAGUAACACGUGGGUAACCUGCCUAAAAGAAGGGGAUAACACUUGGAAACAGGUGCUAAUACCGUAUAUCUCUAAGGAUCGCAUGAUUCUUAGAUGAAAGAUGGUUCUGCUAUCGCUUUUAGAUGGACCCGCGGCGUAUUAACUAGUUGGUGGGGUAACGGCCUACCAAGGUGAUGAUACGUAGCCGAACUGAGAGGUUGAUCGGCCACAUUGGGACUGAGACACGGCCCAAACUCCUACGGGAGGAAGCAGUAGGGAAUCUUCCACAAUGGACGCAAGUCUGAUGGAGCAACGCCGCGUGAGUGAAGAAGGUCUUCGGAUCGUAAAACUCUGUUGUUAGAGAAGAACACGAGUGAGAGUAACUGUUCAUUCGAUGACGGUAUCUAACCAGCAAGUCACGGCUAACUACGUGCCAGCAGCCGCGGUAAUACGUAGGUGGCAAGCGUUGUCCGGAUUUAUUGGGCGUAAAGGGAACGCAGGCGGUCUUUUAAGUCUGAUGUGAAAGCCUUCGGCUUAACCGGAGUAGUGCAUUGGAAACUGGAAGACUUGAGUGCAGAAGAGGAGAGUGGAACUCCAUGUGUAGCGGUGAAAUGCGUAGAUAUAUGGAAGAGCACCAGUGGCGAAAGCGGCUCUC